RNAcentral lists this long non-coding RNA (806 nucleotides) under Equus caballus (horse). Its description in RNAcentral is "lncRNA (ENSECAG00000053612.1)". Lineage: Eukaryota; Metazoa; Chordata; Mammalia; Perissodactyla; Equidae. The record is from RNAcentral.
CAGGACAGGACCAUGAGAACUCGGAAUCCUUUGCCCCAACCUCCAUCCGCCAAUUCUGGUGCUCAGGUGAGGGGACGGUCAUCCUAAUUAAAACCACGUGGUGGGGUUUCGGCUGUGGAAAAUUGCUGGAGCCUCUCUCCUUCCUCGCACCUCCUCUCUCCUUAAACACACACAUGCAACUUUCUCUCCCUUUAUUUAAGCAAACAACUGAGAGACCAUGAUCAAGUGCAGCCCCUUCUUAUCUAAAUAGUCCCCAGAUGUAUAAAGACACAGGAGCUUUUUGCUUCUAUUUGGAGCUUGUUCUGGGACCCAUCUUCUCCAAACCUACAAAAAGCAGCCUUCGUCGGCCUUCACUCACAGAACUCCUAAUGCCUGGUGCCCCAGUAAAUCAGCCCUGCUCAGCAGGCUGUCCUCAAUUUAUCAGAGGUGGGAUUUCCCCUCCCCAAACUUCAGUUUUUACCCCUUUUCUUGGCCUCUCCCAUAACCUGAGCUUGAAACUGCACAGAUGUGAACAAAUGGAACAUGAAAAGUUCCAAUUCUGUUGUCAGAUUCUGAUCUUACUUUAGCGGUCGAGAGCCUCGCUACUCAAAGUACACUCUGCAGACCAGCAGUGUCAGCCUCUCCCCUCACCCGGGAGCCCAGUGGAAAUGCAGAGCUCCAGCCCCACCUCAGACCUGCCCACUCAGAAUCUGCAUUUUACCAAGGCCUCCAGGAGAGCAUCUGUAUAAUUCCUUGAAGAGGUGUGGAUGCUACAGAGCUUGAGGGCAAGGCUGCUGUUCUUGGAGCUGCCAGUAUCACUUAGGCAC